Nicotiana tabacum (common tobacco) is the source of this 1256-nucleotide long non-coding RNA. RefSeq lists it as uncharacterized. The record is from RefSeq and is a predicted model, not a curated record. NCBI's taxonomy places the organism in Eukaryota, Viridiplantae, Streptophyta, Magnoliopsida, Solanales, Solanaceae.
AUAACUACCCAACCCGAACCAAGACCCGAUUUAUAACCUCCACUCCUAACUGUUCGCCGUAGUUUCGCCGGAAGUCCCAAUCUCGUUCUCAACUCCGUCGCCGGCAACUGCUCAUUCCUACUCUGUAUCGGAAAUCUCCAACAGUGAAAAUUGCAUAAGCAUUAAUAUAUGAUUCUAGGGAAGAAAUGGCUGCACAUAUCUUGCAGUAACUGAGCCAAAGCAUGCAGACAUGUUGCUAAAUCCAUUCACUCACACAGAUAGUUGAUGCAGCUGGAAAAGUUCAUAUUAUGAUAGAGGCAAAGUUGUACAUUGACCGAUAUGGGGAAAAUUCUUGUUGGCAUGACUAUCAGCUGCUAGUGAGAAGAGUUAUCAUCAAGGGAAUUGAUCAUGCAUCAUAUUCUACAUUGCAUCUCAGACAAAGUUGCUAAGCCUCUACUGUUGCCCUAGAAGCAAAAAGCUGUUUUGCCUUAUAAUAGGUCCACUCCUGAAUGAGUCUGGAUCUUAAUUGUUUCCUCUGCAAGAUGCUGACGUAUUGCUUCGCAAAACGAGUUGAACAAACAGCACCUAAUUAUGUAAAAGCUUCCCUCAGGAGGACUUCUCUCAUUUGGGUUACGAAUAUCCACAGGGAUCACUGCCUUAUGAAAGAACAAAGUGGUUUCGAUCAAAGGGAAGCGUUUAACAAGUUCACCUACUGGAUAGAGCUACUGAAGGAGUAGUUUCAAAGAGAUGCGGUUGGAAAAUAUUUGAAAACAUAUGCUGAAAUUUCAGUAUCGUAAUAAUAUAGGAGUUGUUUCAUAUUAUUCUUUGACUAACAAGUCCAUUGAAUCAAUUUCUCAGUGAUCUUAAUGGAGGAACAAUGUUAAGUCGGCGGGUUUCCUGGUGUAAAACAGAUAUAAUCUCUAGAAGAACCAGGAUUACCGAAAAGAAAAACAAGGGAUUGUGCUUGAUUCUUCUUGUACUACCAAGUCAAGAAAUCAGUUUAUGUUAAUUCAUGAUAUUCUGCUUUGGUUGUGUUGGAUUUAUUCAUUGUUGUGGAGAAGAGAGUCAAACUAUUUCUUCUGUUGUCCUGUUUCUAUAGCUGUUUCUCUGGAUUGUUGUGGUCAUGGAGAGACAAGUUACUAGGUGUCGUAACUUUUCUCUCCAAUUAGUAUCCCCAAAUUAAGAUGUCUGAUGCAAGUGAGAGUGUGCUUGGAAUUCUAGUCAUCGUCUAUUGUCCUUACUGAAGUUGCUGGAAAAGAAAGACUGAUUUUUGAACU